Episyrphus balteatus (marmalade hoverfly) is the source of this 680-nucleotide long non-coding RNA. RefSeq lists it as uncharacterized. The record is from RefSeq and is a predicted model, not a curated record. The transcript has 3 exons. Lineage: Eukaryota; Metazoa; Arthropoda; Insecta; Diptera; Syrphidae.
AAGUUUCUAUAACAAAGAUGGAUGACAGAACGAAGGUGACAGACAUCCCAUGAACAAGAAGAAAAAAUAUAACCAAAUAGGUACACCAAAUAAAACAAAACAAAUUGGAAAACCCUCCAUUUCUAUAAUUUUAAUUAUUUUCCAUCAACCACCACACUAUUGAAACAACAAUCCCAUCCGUAUUGACGUGUUCGCAGCUUGGCCUUGACCACACGGACGCGGGUGAUCUGUGGCGAUGGUAAGAGCUUCCCAGCUGUGGGUGCUUCCUGGUCCAUUUAUCUUCGUCAAUAGCACGACAAGGCAGCCACAACAAAACAUCGGUUUUGCCAUGGUGUUAACGCGGCAGAGACGAUGGAAGGAUGCCUCAUAUGUACCAAUGUUUUCGAACGGUGGGGACUAACCCACUUACCCACAAGCCGGGCAAUACCUUUUUUGUGGUCUUUUCCCAUUUUUAGGUGAAAAAUUAUAUUACUUGGUUUACUCAAGGCUGACGAUUUAUCGAAGAUUUAUGGUUACACUACCUACUAAAAUUAAAAUUUGGUGAGUGAUCUAGCCACUAAUUAGGUUAAGCAUUACCUAUUUGUUCUUGUACUAGUUUAGUAACAGUAUUAUCAACGAUACUUCCAAUCUAAUUUUGUAAGGCGUUUUGUGUGCGAAAAAUAAAAACAUUGUUAAGAUAC